Molecule: non-coding RNA, 693 nt
Organism: Microcebus murinus (gray mouse lemur)
Lineage: Eukaryota; Metazoa; Chordata; Mammalia; Primates; Cheirogaleidae
Source: RefSeq, a predicted model, not a curated record
GACAGAGAAAGGAACUUUUAGCCACAUGCCCGUUAAACUCCUAUUGAAGCCUUAAAGCCCAUUGUAAAAGGCGCCUUAAAUGUCAUGUUUAGAACCCAGAAGGUGACCAAGAUGGCCAAACUGUCACCUAGGGACCACACACAGCUUCCAGCAGAAAUUCUUUUCAACUUCCCUCCCAUGGAUAAGUUUCUAGAAGCAGACCCGCUGAAGAAGAUUAACUCGCUUUAGGUUGCUGGGCUGUUUCCCAGCCAAACACGAACGCCUCUUGCUGGGCUGAGCUGCUCACCGACAGAGAGCCCACUACACACCUACGCUGCAUGGUAUGGCCCAUCGCUCCCAGGCUACAAACAUGCACAGCAGGUCGCUGUGCUGAAGACUGCAGGCAAUCAUCACGCCACGGCAAACUUCAAACUGCACGUUGGAAAUGGCGAGACUGCCACGCACAAUUGCACCUGUGUGUCACUGUGUGCAUGUGCACACACGUUUUAAAGGGGUGAUUCAAGGGAAGGGGUGGAAAGAACCACCAUAGUAGGCACGGAGCAUGUGGCUAUCAAUGUGCUGGGUUGCUUUACGUGUGUGUAUUUAAGUCUCAUACAAUCUUGGAAGGUAGGUUUUACAGAUCUUGUUUUUGAGGCUAGAAACACUAGGUGCGGAGAAGUUGGUAAUCUGCCCAAGGACAGGCCCACUCCUAAC